RNAcentral lists this long non-coding RNA (931 nucleotides) under Nicotiana benthamiana. RNAcentral describes it as "long non-coding RNA (NBEN_LNC018968)". The record is from RNAcentral. Lineage: Eukaryota; Viridiplantae; Streptophyta; Magnoliopsida; Solanales; Solanaceae.
AUUCUGCUUCUGCACUAGAUCGAGCAACCACAUUCUGUUUCUUGCUCUUCCAGGACACCAAAUUUCCUCCUACUAAGACACAGUAUCCGGACGUAGAACGUCUAUCAGACGGUGAUCUUGCCCAAUCAGCAUCUGAGUAUCCAACGAUUUGCUCAUGACCGCGAUCCUCAAACAAUAAACCUUUGCCUGGAGCUGAUUUUAUGGACCGAAGAAUGCGAACAACUGCAUCCCAAUGACUAUUGCACGGAGAACCCAUAAACUGACUCACAACACUUACAGAAAAGGAAAUGUCAGGUCUUGUCACUGUAAGAUAAUUUAAUUUACCAACCAACCGUCUAUAUCUUGCAGGAUCGCUAAGCGGCUCCCAAAUGUCAGGUCUUGUCACUGUAAGAUAAUUUAAUUUACCAACCAACCGUCUAUAUCUUGCAGGAUCGCUAAGCAGCUCCCCCUGUCCUGACAGAAGUUUAGAAUUCGGAUCCAUCGGAGUGUCAACAGAUCUACAACCUGUCAUUCCUGUCUCCUCAAGAAUAUCUAAGGCAUACGUUCGUUGUGAGACCAUAAUACCUGAGCUAGAUUGAGCGACCUCAAUACUCAGAAAAUAUUUUAGUUUGCCCAGAUCCUUAGUUUGAAAAUGUUGAAAGAGAUGUUGCUUCAAUUUAGCAAUACCAUCCUGGUCAUUGUCGAUAAUAACAAUGUCGUCAACAUAGACCACCAGAUAAAAAUAGAGACUUGAAGCAGAAUGCCGAUAGAACAUAGAGUGAUCAGCUUCACUCUGAAUCAUGCUAAAUUCCUAGAUAACUGUGCUGAACUUACCAAACGAGGCUCGAUGAGACUGCUUUAGACCAUAAAGUGACCGGCAUAAGCGACAUACAAGACCACGAAACUCCCCCUGAGCAACAAACCUAGGUGGUUGCUCCAUAUAAACUUCAUC